Molecule: non-coding RNA, 18708 nt
Organism: Oryctolagus cuniculus (rabbit)
Lineage: Eukaryota; Metazoa; Chordata; Mammalia; Lagomorpha; Leporidae
Source: RefSeq, a predicted model, not a curated record
GCCCCGCCCUGGCUGGCCCCGCCCCCCGCCGCCGCGCAGGGCUGCCCGAGGCACUGCCUGAACGCAACGGGGAGACGCGGCGCGGAACACGUGCCCAAAGGACAAACCAACGCCCGCAGAGGCGUCACGUGUGCAGUUCUCCCUUCGACGGGGUCAUUUAUUGCCAGCCUACCGUACAACAGGCCUUACAUAGACACCUAAAGGCACCCGCGGUGGGCGAGGUGCCCGCCGAUGACGUAUUAUUCAGGCGCCCGCCAGAGUGGAAGGACCCCCGCGUCCCGGUUCAUGCUUCUGAGAAUGAACACCUUGCCCAGGAGAGCGGCUGCCCAGCCCCGCCUCGGCCCACCGAGGGUCCCCGGCUGCGGCCCUCCUUCUCCUCCGCCACUGGUCUCCUUGUGCAUCGGUGCGUGGACUGGAUGACCGAUGACGGCGAGAUGGUGGCCCUGGACUGAGACUUGGCAACAAGGCAAACAUCAGACGUGGCUUCCAGGAUCCUCUGUGCCUGCCGUCCCCCCACCCACCCCCAACACACACACGUUGCCCUCUCCCCGGGGCAGUGGGCUCCCCACACAGCAGUGCUGUCAUUCUUUUCUGCGGCCCCCACUCCUUCUCAGGGCCUGGGGCCAGGGCGCUGCUGGCGAAAGGGCAUCUUGCUUUUCCAUAGGAAAAGCAGCGUUUAUGUGUGGCUUGAGCUAGAACCCCGCUAUGAACCAGAACUGUGCCCCCAGGGAGUUCUCUGAGCUUUUGGUCUUUCUGUAGGUGCUCAGCUCCCUCCCCAAAGACAAGGCGGGAAAGGAGGAGGCAGGGCAGAGUGGGCCCUGUGGGGACCGUCUUCAGAGACCCGGCGCCAGGGCCUCAGGACGUGGCCACGGCCCCAGCAGAAACACACUGCUUGUGCGACUUGGAAGUGGACAUCUUUGGAAGGCCUCAGAAGGCAGGACUAAGACGGUUCCGCGAUUCCUCUUCUUUUGCUGCUGUGAACAGACGUCCUCUGGGACGCUUGCUUCAGAACAGGGAUUUCAAGACAGCGCUGACCACGAGACACCAACAGAAGGCAGCCAUGUCAGUGACAAGGGGUCCCCAGCCUCACGACCUCUUCUGAGGCUUCAGAGUCUUAGGAUUUCAAUGCCUCAAGUUCACUCCAGUUCUCAAACACGCUGUCCUCUUGGUCCACAGUGAGGCGCACGGUCUCCGGCUGGAGAUGCAGAAAAACACCGCACCACCAUUCCUUGUGGUUCUUGCCGAAGAUAAAUGAGAAAGUGUACUCAGCAUACCUUAUCCAGAGCUGUGUAGCUACAACACACAGUGUGAACAAUCGAAGUUAUUUCAACAAAUGGUGUUGUGACCGUUGGACAUCCUAAUGGAAAAUGGAAUCUUCCAUCGUCUAAAAGGAGGAUCUCGGAGUGUAUCACUAACCUGGAUUUGUGAGACUUAGCACUAGAAAACUUCUAGAAGAAGACAGGAAGAAAUAUCGACGACUUUGGGUUAGGCAAAGAAAUCUCAGAUUUGACACCCAAAGCACAAUUCAUAAAACUAAAAAAAAAAAAAAAUGGUAAAUUAGACUUCAUCCAAACAGCUCUGCUCUGCUCUGUGAAAGGGGAUGUCGUGAGAAAAUGUCUGUAUACCUGAUCAUCAAACUGGGAGAACUAGUGUGAUGUGAUCAAAGUGGGCCCUGAACAAGACGCUGGGGUGGCAGAGUCACACAAAGAAAGAGGCACCACCAUCAGUCCAACAGGGAAAAACCAAGUAAAACUGUGACGAGAGACCAACGCCUUCCCAUCAGAACUGCUCAGGCGAAACACGGGCAGGACCUGGGGACCCAGCAGCCCCAGACGGCUCAGCAAGGCGGACUCACGGGGAGGCGGUGCACCAGGCUCAGAGGACUGUGCCCAGGACACUGGGCGGUGCCUUGGGAGCAAGGGCUCUUGGACCAGAGUCCAUCCCUGCUAGAAAGAACUCAGCGGAAGGAACGGUGUGCCUGGGAAGGGUGACGCCCCCGAGUCUUCCCUGCCACCAGCAGGAGGGGCACCUGAAGGAGCUUAGUCCAGCACCAAGAAAUGAUGAGGCUGCAGCUGCCUGUGAGAUCUGGUGGUGUUGUGUGAACCCUCGCUCCCUGCAUCAUCAGCACACCAGGGAGUAGCUGGAAGUCAGAAAGAACACUCUUUCCACAAUCAAAUCACUGGGAGUUCAGAAACCUUCUCCCUGCUCACCACAGCCCCUGGUCAGGAGGACCGCUCCCACGUGCUGCCCACGCCAGUUCCCGUGGCGGACAUGGUCGGGACGGACAGUGGCAGGAACACCAUGAACUCUGUCUUUUUAAUGAAGGAGCAGAGGGGCUGGUGCUCCGGUUAAGCCGCUGCGUGGGACACCGCAUCCUACAUGGAGCUUCAGUUCUGGUCCUGGCUGCUCCGAUUCUGACCCAGCUCCCUGCCAGUGCGCCGGGAAAGGCAGCAGAUGGGGGCUUAAGUUUUGCAGUCCAGAUGGAGCUCCAGGAUCCUGGCUUCAGACUGGCCCAGCUCGGGGCCCAGCCACCUGCCACUUGACGUCCCGGAGCCCUGAUCUUAUCACUGAGAGAGGAAGGGGAUGUAGUGCAUCCUGCCCAGGUGCCCUGCAGCACGAGGAUCAGAUGAGCGGGUGCGAUGAAAUGCAGACGGGCCUCCAAUGGCAAAUGUGUGGUUGAAUGGAACCAGGAUUCAGGAAAUGGUGUUGCUUUGUGCUUGAGCACCAAAGGGUCUUUAAAUGUUUAUUUGUUUUCACUUGGAAGGUUGAGUGACAAGCGAGAGCACUUCCAUCUGCUGGUUCACUCCCCAAAUGCCCAUGACAGAGCCAGGGCUGGGCCAGGCUGAAGCCAGGAACCAGGAGCCCCAUCCUGCACCCCAGGAUGCGUUGGCGGGAGGCUGGACUGGGGUAUUUGUAAGGACACUGAGGGACCUCAUGGUGUAGCAUGGUGGUUCUCACCCAACAUCGUUUCAGAAUUCAUUGCUGAUUCUGGUGAAUUUUGUUGUGACGACGUUUGCUGAGACAUGCAGAGCAAGGAGACCUCCCUGUCAGACCACGCUAGCGUCUCCACGUCCUUAGAAACCUCGGGGAGGGAGAUGUUUCUCAAGUACACGAAACCGAGCAAACACCAGCCCUGCUAGUGUUUCUGUGACUGUAUCUCUCCAGUGGCCAAACCACCAGACACCAAUAACAGCUAGUUUUUCCUGGCAGACCAUGGACCUGGAGAGUUUCAACUGAACAAGUUUAGUUGUGCAGAUGUAUCCAGCAGAGACAUUUUAUGUCAAAACAAGAAACAAAAGGGUCUUGUCUCACGCAUUGCCACGCAGUCGGAGCUUAAGCAGCUGGGCCUUGCUAGUUGCAAACAGCACUAGUGUGAUAAGAAGAAGCUUAACGGGCGUGUCCGGGCCCCACGCAUGACUCAGAGUGCGCCACGAGGGUUCCCUCCUUACUUUUCACAGCGAACCCUUGGUUAGGGUGCAGCUACGACACCCACUUCAUAAAACAGGUGAUGUCCGCCACCGUGCUUCCUCAGCACUGCCUUCCAUCCGGUUGGAGCUGACCCCACAGGCUGAUGCCUGGUAGCUCACUCUGUCUAUCAUCUAUCUAUCUAUCUAUCUAUCCAUCCAUCCAUCCAUCCAUCCAUUUAUCCACCUAUCAAUCAUCUACCGUCCAUUCCAGUCAUCUAUCUUAUCUAUCCAUCCGUCUAUCUCAGCCCUCUAUCUGUAUCAAUUAUUUCCUAUCAUCUAUCCACCCACCAUCCAUACACUUACAGUUAGCUGCUUUUGAUGUUGUAACGAUGCCUGCAGGUGAAACAGUGGCAAUGGAGGAAGAGUUCCAGGUGGGCCAGUCAGGCCCCGGUCCCCACUGGGGAAAAGUCCGGGAGGAUGUCCGGUCCCCUCUGGGGAAAAGUCCGGGAGGAUGUGGGGGAGGACCUGCGGCCUGUUGUGUUUGGGCUCUGCCUGUGUUCAGCAGGAGUGCGGAUGGUAAGCUGUUUGUUGUGCGGAUCCCAGUCUCUCACCUGCCCCUCCACCCUCAAUAUCGCCCUUCGGAAGGGGCGCAGGCUGGGAUGGCACAGCCUGCUAUGGUGGGUGUGCGGGAAGUUUGGAAAGCAGCUCAGUGGAAGCUCUUUGUCCCCAGCCGCCAGGCAGGAGGGCGGGGUCUGCGCAGAGUCCUCAGAAGGGGGGAACUGCGGGCAGGAGUUCCCGACAGGGCACAUGUGGGGUUCCCGGCACGAGCCAGGCUUGCCUCGCCAGCCCAAAGUCUGGGCUUCUCCCCAGUCAUUGGACGUGAGCACGGGGCUUCUGUCCUGUUACUCCUAAACGUUUGAAACAACAAAAAUAGAAAAAAAUAACGAUACAGAUAGAUACAGUAGACCCCAGCGAGAGCAGAGCAAAUGCCCGGCCGUGAGACCCUGCGGGUGCGGCGUGGUGAAGGCUGAGGGCAGCGCAGGGGGCUGCGCGGGGCCGACGUGCUCGGGGGCUCGGGAGAGGCCAGGGCCCCUGCGCGCAGGUGAGGACAAAGAGCAGCUCACGGGAGAAAGAAAAACGCGGGGAGAAGUCGCAGACUCGGAGAAGCACCGGGCCUGCUUCUGCAGGCGAGGCCUUCGGGGACAACGCUAGAAGUUACAGACAAACUGGAAAGGCACUGUGCGUUCCCAGGAGAGACUUGCUUUCCACAAACUCCGUGAGGGCCCUGGGGGGCAGUCCUGCAGCACAAAGUGAAAAUGCACGGCUCCAACCCAGGGUGGUAGCACCUAGGCGCACCUGCCCCGCCGUGGAGCUGUGUGGCCGCACUUCCAGCAGGGACAGCGCCAUGGCUGUGGGGAACUCAGAGCGAGCCCUCGCGUGCCUGUGUGCCUGGCGCUGUGGGGAGCUCGCCGUGCAGGGCAAGCGAUCCCCGGUGGGCUGCAGCAGGAGGUGAGACCCAGGGCAAACCAAGCAUUUGUCACAGGCAGGGGAGAAGAAGGCCACGCAAGCCUCCCACAGCUCUACAGCCGCGCCCCAGCCCCAGGCCAGCUGGGACCGGCGGCCGCCAAGAAGAUGGCAAAUGAGCACACAAAUAGGGGUUCCCUCACUGGGGGGAUGAAAGAGACCCGAGAUGUUUAUAGCCCAGACAGAUACCGAGUGCUGAUUUAUGAAGGCCACGGCAGCCUGGGAAGCCCAUGCAUCACGCAUCCUGACAACAGCCGCGGCCUGUCGUGAGGCCCUCAGAGCACAGUGCCUGGGAAAGUUCACGGGAGCUGGGAAGCGGAGCAUGGGCACGAAUCAAGAAAAAUCCCACCGUGAGGACAAUUGCGGGAUGCUUGCACAGCAGCUUGGGCAGCGUUGCAUUUCCCUUGGAAACUCAGGAGGCGGCGCUGGAGUUCCCUCCGUGCGACCAGGAAGCCUCCAGGGAUCUCGCCCCCACUGCAGACGGAGCCCAGCAACCCACAGCGUGCUUCCUCCUCCUCGUCCUCACCCUCCGACCCCAGAGUUCACGCAGCUGAACGUGCUGUGACCCCGGAGGGGGUCAGGUUAGCCCACUGCCCUGCUUUCUGGUGUCUUUCCCCUCCUUUUUUUUUUUUUUUUUUAAAUUCAUGUAUUGAUUUGAGAGGCAGAGUUAUACAGAGAGAGAGAAAAGGAGAGACAGAGAGGUAUUCCAUCUGCUGGUUCACUCCUUAAAUGGCUACAACGGCUGGAGCUGGGUCAGUGUGAAGCCAGGAGCCAGGAGCUUCUUCCAGGUCUCCCACGCGGAGGACCGAGGCCCGAGGACUUGGGCCAUCUUCCACUGCUUUCCCAGGCCAUAGCAGAGAGCUGGAUCGGAAGUGGAGCAGCCGGGACCUGAACCCGCGUCCAUGUGGGACGCCAGCAUUGGAGGCAGAGGCUUUGCCCGCUCUGCCACAGCGCCGGCCCCUGUUGUCCCUCUCCCAGCAUCCUCCUGAUGCCAGGGCGGCCCUAUGCGUUCUUUCCCUUCUCCGCGUCGCUCAGUGUCGUCCCUGCUUCCCCGUCUCAGGCUGGACGGUGCGCAUGAACUCACCAAGACUUGACCCCACGGAGCGUCCUUGGCUUCCUGUGGACAGUGAGCCACCCCCAUAGGGGUCAGCCCUUGGGGCCUGGGGGGAGGCCCCUUUCGCCCUCCAGCCGUCUCUCUUUUCUUCCCCGACGAGGUCUCCGGGCGGCUCCUACGCAUGGCCACUGACCGCAGGAAUUUGGGGUUUCUGAGCACACGGUGGGGGAGACACUGGUUGCUUUCUGGACCCACACAUCGGAGGAAGCCUAGUUCUGUUGGCCGUUGACUUUGGCGAGGGGGUCAUUUAAAUUCGUCAGACCUCAGUCUUCUGAGUACAAGGUGACCAAGCUGCCUGUCUGAGUUCUGCUUCUUAAGUGUCUUCCAUGAACGCAGUCGCUGUCCUGCAGCAUCAAAUGAAGGAAGCCACACGGCGCAAGGUCACCCAGGGCGGCGCCAUCGGCAUGGGCUCGGCUUCCACCGAUGCCAUCGCUGCUGUUAUUUCUAAGUGUGGGAUGCGUGUGAGCGCGCACGUGAGCGGAGCCGUCCCUCCUCCCAGGUGUCACCUCAGACACUCGCACAGCUGGCUCCAGCUUAGAUGCCUCCUCGCUGCUCAGGUCGUCCUAACACAGGCUGUGCUGCGGCCUGGAGAGGAGACAUUCGCCUGGCCAUGACGGGCCACCCCACCAGCAGCAGGGAGGACAGUGGAGCCUCAGGGCGGGGUGGGGGUGGGGGUGGAAACCAGAGCACCUGUUCGUCAGAACCCCUCUCGCAGGCAGUAGGCGGGAGCUGUGUCACUUCCAGCAAGAGACAGCCGCAGGGGGGAAAUGUUUGACCAAACAGGAAGUAUAAAUUCUUCAAAAACGCUCAGCACUUACGCUGUCCAGCUGCCAUCCUGAGCGUGCAGCCAGUCGGUUCUGUCUUCUGUCCCCGUUCAGUCACCACGGGGAGCCUAGGCCCUCCACCUCUGUGUGGGCUCCAAACCUGGCGCCAUCCUUGGCCCGGCUCCUGCUCACACGCACGUCCCAUCCAUCAGCAAGCCUCCUGAUUGCAUCCAGGCCCAGUUCCUCUCACCCACCCCCCUCCACCACCCUGGGCCACUCUGCCGUCUGCAUUGUCGUGGCCGCUCCUAUGGUUGUCUUGGGCACCACCCAUCAUUCCCGGCAUCUGUGCUGCCCAGAGCUGCCAGGAUGUUCCUCCAGACCACAGCCCCCUGUGCCCACCACCCCACACUCCCGGCUCAGCAGGACUUGGGGGCCUCCUGGUCCCCUCACCCACCUCCUGGAGGCUUUGCGCCUCCUUAGCAGGACCCUGCUCCAGGGGCUUUGCCCUGCUGUCCCUGACCUCAGCCCACUGUUCUUCCCCGCUGUGUCCUGGCUGUGUCUUCCUCUCUCCGCACUGCCCCAGUGCGGCGUCUUCUGCCGUGUAGCAUUUCUCUGCAUUAGCACUUGCAGCCCGGGGCCUACUGUCUGUGUGUUGCGUGUGUGUGUGUGUGUGUGUUCCCCAGGGUCUCUGUAACAAAACACCAAAGAUGGGGGCUUCAGCCUCGGACAAGAACCCUCUCUGGGCUGGCGGCUCGAUGCCCCAGGUCCAGCUCCUGCUGGGCAGCUUCCUUCUGGGGGAGGGGGAGGGAAGUGGCCUGGCCUCUGCCAGUUUGCUGGUGACCGCGGUGUCUGUGCACCGCCAUCUCCACGUGGUCUCCACGUGGCAGCCUUCACAGGUGCGUCCUGUCCACGUGCCCCGUCCUAUAAGGACAACAGGCACACUGCACAGACUCCACCCCAACAGCUCCAGGUAGACACGAAGACCUCUGCAAACCCCUGUUUCCAAGAAGGCCGCGUUCUGAGGGGCACACAGGCUUCGGGGGACUAGACUCACACCUGGAGCAAAACACACCAAAGAGGGGGCUGAACUCAUGUAGCAACGUGCAGAAUAGCGGCAGCCAAGCAGUGUCUUCAAGACAAAUCUCAGAGAAGUACACGCAUAAGGCCGAGUGUGGAUAUGUAGGAGAGUGUGUACUUGUUCAUGUGUGUGCAUGCCACAUGUGUUGUGAACGUGUGCGUGUGUGUGUGCACGAGUGCACUGUGCUGUGAAGUGUGUGAGCGUGUGCACUGUACAUGAGAGCAUCAGGAGCCCAGUGUGCACACAUGUGCAUGUGCACACAUGCGCCUGCCCUGCGCAUUGCGUAUCUGUGCACGUGUGUUUGAAUGUGAAGUUCAGGGGACUGAAGGGUGCCGAGGGUUUAUCUCUGGAAGCUGAAACAGUGUGGUAAGGAGGACUUCCCACAGUUUGAUCUGAAGCUUCAGUUAGCUACAUCUUUUUGUUUUUGAAGAUGUAUUUUAUUUAUUUGAAAGGCAGAGUUACAGGGAGAGGUAGAGGCAGAGAGAGAGAGAGGUCUUCUGUCUGCUGGUUCACUCCCCACAUGGCCACAAUGACUGGGGCUGGGCCAGGCAGAAGCCAGGAGCUUCUUCUGGGUCUCCCACAUGGGUACAGGGGCCCAAGCACUUGGGCCAUCUUCCACUGCUUUCCCAGGCCAUUAGCACAGAGUUAGAUCAGAAGAGGAGCAGCCGGGACUCGAACCAGUGCCCACAUGGGAUGCCGGCACCACAGCGUCAGCCCCGUCAGUUAGCUACAUCCUUUCCAGUAAGAAUUCAUGCAUACGUCAUUGUGGUUUUGUUUCAGAAAGAUAAAUGCGGGAAUGAGUGGACAGCAGAGGUUCAGCCCAGCCCCGAAGCUUUCCCAGGGCUGAUUUCAGGAAGGAGACCAGCAGGUGGGGCUUGCCAGGUCACGACCAGCCUGCCCCGGGUUCAGGGCUCCAUGGUCCCCUGAGGAGCCCUCGCUUCAGGUCCAGAGCUGUGUGUGUCAGGUUCUCGGCCCUCACACAGGUUUGAAGCCUACUUAGAGCUGGGCCAACAGAGCCUGCUCUUCGGAAAGUGCAAUGGCUCCCCCAGGCAAUGUUGAAACAGAGCCUGGGGCUUAUCGGAGGCUCAGGGUCAGAGCUGUCUUCCUGGAGGACCUCCCUCCUGCCUCAGCCCCAUAGACGGCCCCCGGGGCUUCCCCAGAGUGGGCAGGGAAGGGGUCUCUGGUGCCCUCACCCAGCGGGGAGUCCUCCACCCCCGGGCUGGUUGCUUGGCCUGCCCUGGGCAUCACUGGCUCGGGCAGAGGAUCGUGAAGCAGAGAGCAGCAGGUGCGGGGACAGUUUGGGAGGGAGAUCCGCUCUCGGUUUAUGUGCGCCUGAUAACACCUGUUGGCCUCCAAACAGGUAAAGCAGACUGCUGAAGUAGCGGCCGGACACCCCAUGGCGGUGGGAGACACUGAGGAGGGGCGGCGACAGCAGCCAGAGCCAGAGCCGCUUCUGGGAGUCACCACAGUUCUGGGGACGGCGAGUGCCAAGUGCCGAGCUGACAGUGUCCUCAGGGAGGUGGGCAGGGCUUAGCACGGAAGCUGGGCAGCUCAGACGUCUUCCUCAAGGGCCCACCGAUAUGUUCUCACACGGCAGAGGUGUGAUAAGCCUGGUUUUGUGGGUGUGAAAAGAUUAGUGUGUGUGUGUGUGUGUGUGACUAACAGAACACCCACUGCCCGAGAUGUUCCAGGAGAAAGGGAGUGCCCACGGCCAUAGUCACGGCAGUGCCCCUGUAGCCGGGAGUGGGCGCUCUCUGAGCCCAGGACCCCGAGUCCAGAUGGUCUGGACUUUUCGCUCAUGGGUCUUGGCUGAGGUAUUGUCUUAGGGCUGUGCUGGGCGCUAUGCACCUGCUCCCUAGUGAGCCCCCGUGUGAGCAGCCCUCUCCUACGUCCGCAUUGUUCCUCUCUAUCAUCUCGGAGGGCUGGGGUGGUCCGGGGAACGCCCUCCAGGACGGCAGGUGCCAACCCUGGAACUUGUGACUGUUGCCUCUUGUGGCUGGAGGAAAUCUGUUGGGAGAAUUCGGCUGGAUUGCUGCAGUAGCCCCCAGUGUGAUGACCAGGGGUGUUGGAGAGCUGGGCGGAGCGAUUCCGGACCACAGAGGAAGGCAGUGGAGGCACAGAGCAGGGAGUGAUUUGAAGAGCUUGGCUGUGAGGCAGUGGCAAGCGGGGGAUGCCAGCAGACCCUGGUGACUGCAGGAAGCAGGUGAUAGUGGGAGAAGCCAGGAGGCCGGUGACAGCAGCCACAUGAGGGCCCACGGCGGGGACGUAGCCCGGGGGGUGGAGUCGGGAAGCAGUGUGGUUCUGUGCCCCCCUGUGCAGCCCAGCCUGGAGGACUCGGCAGGGCCGUGCUGGGUGCUGCGUGGCCCUAGCCUGGAGCUCUUCACUGGAGCUAGUGAGCGGAUCCAGGAGUCUGAGCCCAGCUACCGAGGCAGCGCGGGAGCUAGAUGAGGGCAGACGUGGGGACCGAGACAUCUCAGGACUCCUGGGGGAACGUGUAGUGCUCAAAACCUUUUCGUCUGUCCAAGUUCGUUCCCCGCCGGGAGCCCCUUCCCAGGAAUCAGCCUGCUGGAGCUCGCCUGCUCCUUGUCUCCCAGGGUGCCCCUCGCUGCCUGCCUUCCGGGCCCCACGGGCAGCGAUGUGGGAGCCUGGUCCACUCCAGCAGGCCCUGGAAUCUUCCCCUUGUGGCCCCGAGGCCUUCUGAGGUGCUGGCCUCUAAUGUUCCUUCCAGGAGAGGUGGGGGUACUUAGUGGGGGCCAGGAAGCCCAGAGCGGCCGCACCCGGCACAGCCCUGCAGAGGAACCCAUUGGAACAGAAGAGGGUCUGCAUCCUCCGAGCGGACAGACGGCACUUCCAAGGCAGCUCAGGAGCCCAGAGCCUAUUCUGCAUCAGGGGAAGGGGAGGGGACACCUUCUACCCGAUAGCCCUGUAGUCUGGAAGGGCGUCAUUCCACACCUGAGGCCCGGGAAGGGUGACGCUGGGUGACGGGGUCCCAUGACACCUACGCAUGGGUGGCCACAGCGCUGGAGGAAGGCGCGCCCCUGCUGGCCCUCUAAGAUGUGGGAGCUGCUGACUCCAGGGCUCUCUGUGCGGCUGCGACAGCACCCUGUAGACGAGGGCUUGGACCGCAGCCACGCGUUUCCAAUAGUUUCGGAGACUGGGAAGUCCAAGUUCAAGGCUUUCCCGCGUUUCAUGUCUGAUGGGAGCUUGUUCCCUGGCUCGUAGCGGUGGCCCUCUCACUGUGACCCCACAGGGGACGGGGUGAGGGAGCUCCCUGGGGGUCCCUACAUCAGGGCCACCGUCGCUUCCAUGCAGGCUCUGCCUCCUGCCCCAACCCCCCCCUCCCUGCCCCAGUGCCAUUGCCCUGGGGACUAGGUUUCAGCAGUGAGUUGGAGACAGUGCAAGCAUUGAGAUCAGAGCCACAGAGAGCCUUUGUUUAGCCCACACAGCGUUUACUUGUUGGAAAAACUUUUGAAUGCUUUCCCCUGAACUAUGCGCACUCUGGUUUGCCACAGUCUCCCCAGCAGCUGAUUCCACUCAGUUCUGCCCGCUCUGCGGAUUCAGAACCUUCCCGGGGUCCUACAGGUGGUCGCGUGGGAAGGGACUGCUCUUACCGAAAUGAUCAUUUGCUAUGGAAGAAGCUGUGGUACAAAAAGCCAAUGCAGGCUCCGUUCGCAGAAUGCAUCUGGCGCGACAGCAGCGCCUGGUUGACCCGUUAUCUGCAGGCUUGGAUGCUCACAGCUGAUGCGCGAAGCCGCUGUGAGACUGUUUGAAGAUUUACCCAGGUUUAUUUGUCUGUAGUGCGGCGUGGACUUUGCGUUUGCUUAAUAGCCUCACGGUUUUAUUAUAGAGUAAUCUGAAAUGUAGAACAAAACUUGGUGAAAACUUGGAGUCCCUUGAGGAGCACCUGGGCCCCUCCUAUUUCUUUUGAAAGAACAAACACAGCGGACCCCCAUGUUUUCCCUUGUAAUCUUUCCUGUGAACACAGGAGAGGGAGUGCCUUCCAGAACUUCUACCCCCUGCCUCUGCGGCACUGAGAAGGUAUUCCCUGGGCCGCUAGGCUGUGCCUGAUUGGAUGACCUCUAAUGUGUGCAAAUCACCUGGUGCGGUCAGGAGUGAUGGAACGGGCCUGCCUCGGGUGCAGAUUCUGCAGGUGCAGCCAUCUGGGGUCUACCUGGGAAGGACGCCUCCACCUGCGCUGGAGUGCGUGGAUAUCGAGCCACGGCUGAUUGACAACGGGGCAACCGUGUGAGCGGAAGCAGAGACACAACGAGAGAAAGCAAAGCUUCAUGGGAGACCGCAGCUGGGACAGGCAAGAAGUGGGUCAGCACUGGGAGCCAACGGCCAUCAAGCCGCUUCUGACGUUAGCUCGAUGUCAACCAACGACAGCGUGGGGCGAGGGCAUUGGUGAAACGCAGAUGCUGGGUGGAAAGGACCAAAGUGUAUAUAUAAUACUAAUGGAAAAGAAGAGUGGCAGGUACUUAGCGCCCGCCCUUGGCAUCAGGGAGGUGCAGCCAGAGCCUUUUCCCGUUCAGCCCAGAGAGGUCUCCACCUUCUCCUUCACAUUCCUAGUUAUCCUCGCAGAAAUGGACAGAGGAUGGCGAGGAGACCCCUUUACAACUUCUGGAUUCAAAACAAGCGUCAUUUGUCCAAUCAGGAUUUAGCGGAUGCUCCCAGGAUGCCGGUUCUGUUCCAGGGUGGAUGAGCUGCCGUGGGCAAGACAGUGAGGCUCCCAUUCUGGGGCAGGAAUGCAGAUUGCACAGACAGCCACACCUGCUGUCAGGCGGCACCUGCCCUGAGACCGGCUGGGAGAACCCAGAGCCAAGCUUCGGGGCCAGAUGGACCCACUUCUGUCCCGGAGCCUCUGCUCUGAGUUGCUCGGCUGCUUUGUUGAUCUGACGGCUCUGGAAGCUAAGACGCCGGUGCUGUUUGGUAAACACCGACUCCUGUCGGUGAGCAGCACCUUCCUUGGUUCCCAGCUGGUGGUUUGUUAUCAGCAGUCCAGGCCCUCUGAUCGUUUACGUGGCCUAUAUCUCAAACACACUGUCUGAACUAGAAAGGAACAUAUGUGCUUCCACGUGUGAAAAAUUCUCUUUGUUUCUUUCUUCCCAAAGGAACUGGGGAUGCUCUUUCUUCAGCUGUUUUGGGGACUUUUGUUCUGGGUGGGCUCUUUUUUUUAAGAUUUAUUUAUUUAUUUGAAAGUCAGAGUUACACAGAGAGACAAAGAGAGGCAAAAAGAGAGAGAGGUCUUCCAUCCACUGGUUCACUCCCCAUUUGGCUGCAGUGGCCGGAGCUGCGCCAAUCCAAAGCCAGGAGCCAGGAGCCAGCAGCUUCUUCUGGGUUUUCCACAUAGGUGCCGGGGCCGAAAGACCUGGGUCAUCUUCCACUGCUUUCCAAGGACAUAGCAGAGAGCUGGAUUGGAGGUGGAGCAGCCAGGACUCGAACCAGCGCCCAUAUGGGAUGCUGGCACUGCAGGCGGCGGCUGUACCCACUACACCACAGCGCUGGCCCACCUGGGUGGGAUCUUGAUUGCCAUCUACUGCCUGCAAAACUCAGCUCCUCCAGUUCACCUUGAAAUGACUUGACUGCCUUCAGUCCGGGGUCGGUCAGAGGGUGGGACUGUGGACGUAGGCUCAGUUCCAGGAAGUGGCUUCUCUAUUGUGCAGUUCCACCAAGCGACGCCUGAGAGCGUUGGCCAACUGGCAGCACCCUGGCAAAGUGGGCCGUGGAGAAGAGAGCUUACCGUGGGUGGUGCCGGCUGAACACACUCCCUGGGACGUGAGCACUUGAAAGUGAACAGACAUUGGAGGAUAACUUCUGAGCCAAUGGCUGAAUGAUCUGGGGUGUUGUUACUGCUGUGUGUGUAUGUUUAAAAUUAAUUUCUUAUCUUCCCCAUCAAGAAUGAGUUGGUAAAAGGGACAAGGAGGACGGAUGGAUGAAAUGCAGGCUGGGUGAGUGCCAGGAGCUGGCCUGCCUGGCUGCCCUCCGCCCAGGCUUGGCACCGGGAAAGCAAACCAAAUACACUCCAGGAAAGCUGUGUGUUCAUGAGAAAUGCCGGCCUCCAGGGGCAGAUGUGAUAAAAUCUGUGCAAAUGCGGGGUUUAAAGAUGUUGCUUAGGCAAGAACAAUGGCUGGAUUUUUCCUGGGCAGGAUGUGUGGGUUGAAUGACUUUUUAUUUUAUUUUCUCUUAAUUUCCUGAAAAUGUAAGCAACAGUUGUGAGCCCCAAAGGCCCGAGGUGGGGGUGCAGCUGCACUCGUGCCUGGACGCACUCGGGGAGCUGAGAGGAUGCGGCCAGGGGAGGAUCAGGCUGUGGCUGUGCGGGGGUCAGGGGGUCUGGGCCUCCAGUCCCAGUGUCUGGGAGGGACCAUGGCUUGGGAGGGACGGACAGAUGGGCAUCCCAUGCUGGACUCUCGCCCCCGUGUUCAGGUGACUGCAAAGUGCUUUUCCACCUGCAGCCGGGCUGUGUCUGCGCGCAAAGACCCUUGUUGGGCAGGAAGAUGAGAACUUGGUGCUUUCAGGUUAGUGAGGGAGGGAGCGCCUUGAGGGGCCGAGGACGUGGGAUGAUUCUGACAAGGCCUCAGGAAGUGCCAGCCUCAGUGUCGCCUGAGGCCAGCAACGACCGUCCGAGGAGUACAGAGGCCCUGAGAAGCACACGCACCUCCGGGUGUCCCAGCCUGGCUGCGCACUGAGCACGUGCCCGUGACAGUGGGCGCUGGCAGCAGGCAGGUGUCAGGCGGGAGAGGAGAGGGAAGAGGCUCAUUUGAAGAGGGAAGAUCGCAGAGGGCCCGACAUCUGAGCUCGCGGUGUGUGAAGGAGUCCCUGAGGGAGGGUCAGCUGUGUCCUGGGAGCACACCGUGCCCGCUGAGCCCUCCGCACUGGGCUUCUGCGUCACGCCAGGCGUUGACCACUUUGGGGCGCUACAAAGGAGGAGGCAGAGAGACUCAUUUUCCUGCGACACUUCCCCUGUUGUCCCUGUCCUCCUGAGGGUUCCAGGUCAUCACUGCACCCGUCCACAGCUCAGGAGGCAUAAAUCUUCAUGACAUUUGACCAGCAAUCAUUUCUUUUUAAUUUUAUAGAUUUGUCUGUUUACCUGAAAGGCAGAUUAACAGAGAGAAAAAUCUUCCAUCCACUUGUUCACUCCCCAAAUGGCUGCAAUGACUGGAGCUGGGCUGAUCCAAAGCCAGGAACCAGGGCUUCCUCCAGGUCUCCCCUGUGGGCAAAGGGGCCCGAGCACUUGGGACAUUCUCCACUGCCUUCCCAGGUGGACCAACAGGGAGCUGGAUGGGAAGUGGAGCAGCUGGGACCUGAACUGGCACACAUAUGGGAUGCCGGCACUGUAGAUGGUGGCCUCACCUACUACGUGGUGGAGCUGACCCUGGGCAAUAAUUUCUUAAAGACGACAUGAAAAACAUAGGCAGCAGAAAGUAAAAUAAGUUGACCCUCAUCAAAGUGAACUUCUGUGGGCUGGCGUUGUGGCGUAGCAGGUAAAGCUGCCACCUUCGACACUGACAUCCCAUAUGGCUGUGGGCUCCAGGCCUGGCUGCUCCACUUCCAGCUCAGCUCCCUAAUGGCCUGGGAAAAGCAGCAGAAGAUGGCCCAGGUGUUUGGGCCCCUGACACCCAUGUGGGAGACCCGGAUGAAGCUCCUGGCUCCUGGCUUCAGCCUGGCCCAGCCCUGGCUAUUGUGGCCAUGUGGGGAGUGAACCAGUGAAUGGAAGACCUCUCUUUCCCUGCCCCCCCCACCAUAACUCUGACUUUCAAAUAAAUAAAUAAACAAUCUUUUAAAAGAUGAACUUUUGUUUUCCAAUGGACAGUAUCGAGAAAAUGAAAAAACUCACAGGGUGGGAGAAGACCUGUGAAUCAGGUACCUGAGAUGGCACUUGGUCUCUUAUAUAUAAAGAAAUCUACAGCUCAGCAAUCGAAGGAGACAAAACCCAACGACAAAGUUGACAGAGGACUUGCAGAGACAUUCAUUUAUCCAAACAGAGCAUGCAGACGUCUUAUUACUAUAUGCAAGGUGCUCAGUGUCACUAAUUAUUAGGGAGACGCACUUCAAACCACAGCAGUGCCUCUUCACACCCACCAGCACCGCCGCACCCACGCUGAGGGGUGCAGGACAAGGCGACCCGCGUGCCCGGCGGGGGGCGGGGAAAGCAGCCGAGCUCCCGUGGAAACGAGUUUGGCAGUUCCUCAAGAACUAUUCUGCCCCUGAGUGUUAACCCAAGAGGAAGAAAAGACGUCGACACAGAUGCUGGCAGCCCAUUGUCCACAGCAGCCUGGACCUGGCAGGCUAAACGUGGGAAGCCCCCGCAAACCCAGAGCUCCUGGGGGAGUCCACAAACGUGUGCCCCCAUCACCUGAGGUGACCAGGGCCAACCUCUGUGCGACGCUGGGUGAAAGAACCUGGUCACCAAGGGCCACAGCGUGCAGAAUUCCCAGCGGAGACAGAGAGGGAGUCCGUGGUUCCCCGGAAGUCGUGUGGAAUCUUCCCGGGUGACGAUGAAAUGUCCCGCAAUGAGACAGUGCCGAGGCUUGCGCAGCUAGUGAACACACCAGGAAAGCCAGCGACGUGUGCAUUUUAGAAGGGUGGGCUUCAGCGUUUGUAAACGAUGGAUGUCUUGAGAGAAAUUAAAAGAAGCCAUCAGGCAUCAGUUGGCGGUUAGUGAAUUAGUCAGGGGGAGCUGCAUUUAGGCUGCGAGCUGCCAAUCAAAUGCCCCGUCCCAGAACACCUGCACACCUCCAGCGGCGAGGCAGCGGCUGUGCGGCCCUCGGUGCCUGGCGUGGGUGUCGCAGGUCACCGGCCACUGCGAUGCCCACUGGUGGCUAACAGGACAAGCAACCCAGUGAGGAGGUCACACAGGGUGAGGUGGGCCUGGCCCAGCUCUGCCAGGGUCUAGGACCAAGACAGAGCUGCAGGCCCAGCGCCGGUGUGGCUCCAGCAGGGAGCCUGGUAGGGGGUGUGGGCCAGGAGGCACCCUCAGGGCUUUACUGGAGGAAGGAGGAAGCGUGAGAGCCAUCGGCAGAGGGGUUCACAGCUGCGGGGUCUCGUGGGGAGGCGUCGCUGUGGGUGAGGAGGAGAGGACGAGCGAGGGGGCACCACUGUGUUUGCAGAUUCUGUGUCCAUUGCUGCUUCCCUCUUCCAUCGCUUUUAAGGCCUGGGUGGAGGGGUGAUGCUAGCGGGUGCAGGGGCUGUGACGGGGAGCACGGUCCUGGGCCAGUGUGGGCACGAGGGCCUGAAGCCCCCUGGCCAGCGGUGGGAGAGACAAGAGACGUGGCGCUAAGGAGGGCGAUGCUGCCAAGCCCUGUGUGCAGUUGGCUCCCGGACACUCAGAGUUAAGUCGAUCAGGAUCCAUGAAGGCGCGAGGACGGGGUCGGGCGAGGCGCUGGCCGUCUGGGGACUGAGGGGGUCCCCGGCCGUGCGAAAGCUGAGCGGUGCCCAGAUGAGUCACGCUCAGGGGACACACGGAUGCAGGCUGCAGCGGCCGGGCAGCGAGGGGCCGCGCGUGGGGGUACAGGGAGAGCGUGCUGAGGUCGGGAUCGUCUUUCCCCCAAUUCCCUCACCGCUCGUCCCAGAGCCCCUGCCUCUGCGGAGGGGGGACCCACUGCGUUCCUCAGUGGCCGCUGAGUUCCUGCCCUGCCUCCCCUGCCUCCCUCUGCUCUGCAGAGACCUCUGCUGGCCUCACAUCCUGCCAGGGGCGCGGGAGGCACCGGCGGAGGCUGCCAAGCUCCAUCAGCGUCGCUGCAAAUCCCGAUGCAGGCGGAAGGCUCGGAGCAGCAGUGUUUCGCAGACCGGACUCCGCGUGGGCAAUCUGGGGCUAACCAUGGAAGAACGGAAAUUAAAGCACGUGGCAGCCCUGCCCUUGAAAUAGUCCCGCAUCGUCAAGAAGAGGAGAAACGCUCCGAUGGUCGGUUUCCCAGCGUCCUUCGGGAAAGUGGCUUAGGGAAGUGCCCCGGGAGAGGUCAAGGGGACAGGUGGAGGUGUUUGCCGAACCCAGGAGGGCUCGAGGGUGCACGGCCACCCCGGGCUGCGAUGUGGCUUGUGCCGCUGCGGCUGAGACGGGCACCCGUGGAGGCUGCGAGUGGCACGCGCUGCCCGCUGGCCCCGGUCACAGGUCACAGGGCCGUCUCUGCCUGCCUUAGCACAGAUGCGUAUUAAAUUGACGCUCCCAGGGCCUGGUGCGAUGCUGACUCUCCAGUCUGAGCUCUGCGAUUACGAGUAACAGCACCGUGGAGAGUCACAGGCAAGUUUUUCCCGGAACGUGUUUUCAGUUUUCUCGGGUUCAUGCCUGAGAACAGUGUGGUCGCUGGGUCACACGGUGAUUGCACAUGCGCACGGUACACAUGCACUUUGGGUCUUCGGCGUCUUCAGCUCCUGGGUGGCUCUGGCCUGGACAGCGUCCACCUCUGCCCCCCGCUCCCAGUGUGUCCCACCCUCACCCACACCCACACCCAGAACUCAGGGCCCGCAGCCCGGCCGCGUCUGUGUGCACUGAUGCAUGCAGCUACCCGAGACGCUGCGGGCUCCAUGCGCGUGCAGCCUGCAACGCCGCUCAGGGACAGGGCUGGGACCACAGUUCCUGCUGGCUCCACCGUCCACACAGCAGGAGCGCAGAGGGAGCUGCCGAGGAGUUGGAUCGACUGGCUUCAUCUGACUGCUUCCUGCACCUUUGUGGUUUCAGUCUCUGUGCCUUGGGGGCCGCCCGGUGUCCCUGACACUGGACACUUUGCCGUCUCCGAUGACUCAGUGUGGGGAGAACUGGGGGCGGAGGGAGGAGAUUCCUGGCGAGGUUUCUGGUCGCCCGCGCCCCUGGAACCCGCAGCUUUG